UUGCCUGGGGGCAGCAGUGGGGAAUAUUGGACAAUGGGCGCAAGCCUGAUCCAGCCAUGCCGCGUGAGUGAUGAAGGCCCUAGGGUUGUAAAGCUCUUUCACCGAUGAAGAUAAUGACGGUAGUCGGAGAAGAAGCCCCGGCUAACUUCGUGCCAGCAGCCGCGGUAAUACGAAGGGGGCUAGCGUUGUUCGGAAUUACUGGGCGUAAAGCGCACGUAGGCGGAUAUUUAAGUCAGGGGUGAAAUCCCAGAGCUCAACUCUGGAACUGCCUUUGAUACUGGGUAUCUCGAGUAUGGAAGAGGUGAGUGGAAUUCCGAGUGUAGAGGUGAAAUUCGUAGAUAUUCGGAGGAACACCAGUGGCGAAGGCGGCUCACUGGUCCAUUACUGACGCUGAGGUGCGAAAGCGUGGGGAGCAAACAGGAUUAGAUACCCGAGUAGUCAG
RNAcentral lists this ribosomal RNA (442 nucleotides) under uncultured Agrobacterium sp. RNAcentral describes it as "bacterial SSU rRNA". It matches the Rfam family "Bacterial small subunit ribosomal RNA", at positions 338 to 797 of the family's 1533-position model. Lineage: Bacteria; Pseudomonadati; Pseudomonadota; Alphaproteobacteria; Hyphomicrobiales; Rhizobiaceae. The record is from RNAcentral.